CUUUGUCUACCAUUCAGGCUACAUGCUGAAGUGUGACGCACAACUCCUGCCCUCUUUCAGUCAUGAAAUUCGUAACACCCAAAGGCAACUUCCACCUUUCAGUGUGUCAAGACACUUCCCCCUUCUUGAGUCUUUCGUCAGGAUCCACCUCUGCAAUAAAGUAUUUCAAUAAGUA
Molecule: long non-coding RNA, 175 nt
Organism: Podarcis raffonei (Aeolian wall lizard)
Lineage: Eukaryota; Metazoa; Chordata; Lepidosauria; Squamata; Lacertidae
Exons: 2
Source: RefSeq, a predicted model, not a curated record